This 1554-nucleotide ribosomal RNA is filed under the name Staphylococcus aureus. Its description in RNAcentral is "16S ribosomal RNA". It matches the Rfam family "Bacterial small subunit ribosomal RNA". Lineage: Bacteria; Bacillati; Bacillota; Bacilli; Caryophanales; Staphylococcaceae. The record is from RNAcentral.
UUUAUGGAGAGUUUGAUCCUGGCUCAGGAUGAACGCUGGCGGCGUGCCUAAUACAUGCAAGUCGAGCGAACGGACGAGAAGCUUGCUUCUCUGAUGUUAGCGGCGGACGGGUGAGUAACACGUGGAUAACCUACCUAUAAGACUGGGAUAACUUCGGGAAACCGUAGCUAAUACCGGAUAAUAUUUUGAACCGCAUGGUUCAAAAGUGAAAGACGGUCUUGCUGUCACUUAUAGAUGGAUCCGCGCUGCAUUAGCUAGUUGGUAAGGUAACGGCUUACCAAGGCAACGAUGCAUAGCCGACCUGAGAGGGUGAUCGGCCACACUGGAACUGAGACACGGUCCAGACUCCUACGGGAGGCAGCAGUAGGGAAUCUUCCGCAAUGGGCGAAAGCCUGACGGAGCAACGCCGCGUGAGUGAUGAAGGUCUUCGGAUCGUAAAACUCUGUUAUUAGGGAAGAACAUAUGUGUAAGUAACUGUGCACAUCUUGACGGUACCUAAUCAGAAAGCCACGGCUAACUACGUGCCAGCAGCCGCGGUAAUACGUAGGUGGCAAGCGUUAUCCGGAAUUAUUGGGCGUAAAGCGCGCGUAGGCGGUUUUUUAAGUCUGAUGUGAAAGCCCACGGCUCAACCGUGGAGGGUCAUUGGAAACUGGAAAACUUGAGUGCAGAAGAGGAAAGUGGAAUUCCAUGUGUAGCGGUGAAAUGCGCAGAGAUAUGGAGGAACACCAGUGGCGAAGGCGACUUUCUGGCCUGUAACUGACGCUGAUGUGCGAAAGCGUGGGGAUCAAACAGGAUUAGAUACCCUGGUAGUCCACGCCGUAAACGAUGAGUGCUAAGUGUUAGGGGGUUUCCGCCCCUUAGUGCUGCAGCUAACGCAUUAAGCACUCCGCCUGGGGAGUACGACCGCAAGGUUGAAACUCAAAGGAAUUGACGGGGACCCGCACAAGCGGUGGAGCAUGUGGUUUAAUUCGAAGCAACGCGAAGAACCUUACCAAAUCUUGACAUCCUUUGACAACUCUAGAGAUAGAGCCUUCCCCUUCGGGGGACAAAGUGACAGGUGGUGCAUGGUUGUCGUCAGCUCGUGUCGUGAGAUGUUGGGUUAAGUCCCGCAACGAGCGCAACCCUUAAGCUUAGUUGCCAUCAUUAAGUUGGGCACUCUAAGUUGACUGCCGGUGACAAACCGGAGGAAGGUGGGGAUGACGUCAAAUCAUCAUGCCCCUUAUGAUUUGGGCUACACACGUGCUACAAUGGACAAUACAAAGGGCAGCGAAACCGCGAGGUCAAGCAAAUCCCAUAAAGUUGUUCUCAGUUCGGAUUGUAGUCUGCAACUCGACUACAUGAAGCUGGAAUCGCUAGUAAUCGUAGAUCAGCAUGCUACGGUGAAUACGUUCCCGGGUCUUGUACACACCGCCCGUCACACCACGAGAGUUUGUAACACCCGAAGCCGGUGGAGUAACCUUUUAGGAGCUAGCCGUCGAAGGUGGGACAAAUGAUUGGGGUGAAGUCGUAACAAGGUAGCCGUAUCGGAAGGUGCGGCUGGAUCACCUCCUUUCU